UGGACAGAUCUCCUCUUGGACCAGUGACUCCUUUAAAGUCAGGACUUCAGUGUUUUGAUUGAGGCAGAAAUGCUGCUGCUGCUCCUCAGAUACAAUGGAGAACAUAUUUCUUCCUCGGUAGUAGUAUCUGCUUUCUAAUGGCACCAGUUCAUGAGUUCCUGAGUUUAUCUGCUCUAAAAUCUCCCAGUGUCCCUUCCAGCUGCAAAGAUAGAGGAAAACUCCCUGCUUCAAAAGUCUAAUUUCAUGUAUUUCCUCAGAGACAUUCUGCGUUCUCCAGUCUCCAAAGACAAUUCUGGACAGGAGAUACCUGCCAGACUCCAGAGAGCAGGUUUAGAUUAGAUCUUAACAAGAAAUCUCUUAGUGUGAGGGUGGUGAGGCCUUGAGGUUGCCCAGAGCAGCUGUGGCUGCCCCUGGAUCUCUGGAAAUGUCCAAGACCAGGUUGGACAGGGCUUGGAGCCACCUUGGGAUAGUGGAAGGUAUCCCUGACAUGGCAAGAAGUUGGAACAAGAUGAUCUUGAAGGUCCUUUCCAAUUCAAACCAUUCUGUGAUUCUAUGUGUGCUAAGAUCUCUUCCAUCCUUCAAAUGCAGCAGAUUUUCUGUCUCCUCUCUCUCCAUAACAGUGUCAGUACUUCUCAUUUGGAAAUAAAUCCUCUCAGCUGCAACACUUUGCUUCAUGAAUGCCUUUUGAAGUGGCUGUUUCAGCUGGCUUGAAGGAGGCAGAUUCAAAUGGAAACUCACAUGUUCAACAGUGAAGCAGCACGAAGUUGUCAGGCUUGACCAGAUGAGAUUCGGACGCUCCUUGGGAUCACUUAAACGCGAUUUAUUGACCAGCAGCAAGUCGGUCCUUGCCCUGGGAGAGGCAGAGGCGGCGGGGUCGAGUCCGGCUGCUGCAAUUCCCCCAUUUUCCCACCAGAUGGCAGCCGCCACAAAGGAAAAAUCCAGCGGAGAAUCUGCAAGUCACGGGAAGGAGCCGGAACGGGAACACCCGGGCUGGGCAGCAUGGCGGGGCCGGCUAGGGAAGGGAGAAUCCCCCGGAGAGUGAUACCUAAAGAAGGUAUCACCUCUGGAUAUCUGAUGAUAGGAACUUCAGCACAGGACUGGAGAGAUUCUUAGCCUUCCACUCAAAACGUGCAUUACACUCACUAGCAAGUGGCAGUUAACAAUUGAAUAAGUGUCUCUUUUCUUCCUCAUUGUUUUCUUUCAUUUACCUCAUUAUAUUCAUUGGUGUGGUAAUCAAGGUAGAUAAAGAAAGAAAUAUUCAAAAAAAGCACCUCCAAAUCCAGUAUGAAGUCAGAGGUGAUUCUGAGAGUGGUUAAGAAUUACUAUGGGCUGCCUGGGUGAAUAAAUCCCUUGAACUGAACUUUUUAACCCCAAACUCAAGUGAGUAUUCUAUUCUUUGGAACAUAUGGGGGAAAAAAAGUGCCCAAUGCACAAACAUCUGCCAUUCUAGGGGAAAACUGGGCUACUGAAUACAGAGACAGGAACAGGCAAAUGUUCACUCCAGAGUUGUUCAGUAGAUGGAGUAGGAGUUAUUUACAUUCAAAUGCUGAACCAUGUGACACUCACUUCCUAUUGAAUGCACAUAAAAAGGCAUCAGAGAAUCUAUUUGGCAAAACCUUUAAGAUGAACAGAAUAAACCCGUGUUCCUGCCUUGCACACAAUCUUUACUUAUUUAUGCAUGUGGCUCACAAGUAAAACAUCAGAAAAAUCAAGACAGACGUUGAAUGGCACAGAUAAUUGAGGUCCAG
Ficedula albicollis (Collared flycatcher) is the source of this 1748-nucleotide long non-coding RNA. Lineage: Eukaryota; Metazoa; Chordata; Aves; Passeriformes; Muscicapidae. The record is from Ensembl.